UUACGGGCUUUGCGUUAGUCGUUCACGACCAUUGUAGUGUACCGUAAUUUAUGUUUUAACAGUUCGUGAUAAGUACUGUCUCUAAAAAUACAAGAAAAAUUGUUAUUUUAUAUCUUCAAUAAUUUAUUAUUUAUUUCGGCCAUACCAUGGACGAUUUACAGAAUUACAAAUUGCAACUUCAACAGGUAGAAGCAGCUCUUACGACAGACCCAACCAAUGAAGAACUUUUAAAAUUAAAAAUCGAUCUCGAGGAAGUAAUAGAGCUGACACAUGAUUUAAUUAAAUCACAACAACAGGAAAAAAGGCAAGCCAAUGGCAUGGAUGCUAAAGAUCCUAUUUUGCUUGCAGUGUUAGCCAAUAAAUGGAAAGUGGGCGAUCAAUGCAUGGCCCCAUGGAGCGAGGAUGGCAAGUAUUACGAGGCAACGAUAGAUGCAAUAAGUGAAGACGGAGUCGUGAACAUAACUUUCAAUGAGUACAAAAAUACUGAUGUUACGAUGCUUAGUCAACUCAAAUCAAUAGCUAAAAGGCCAGCAUCGGAUUGGGCAGAUCAGAAAUCAAAAAAAAUGCAAGCAGCUGCUAUUGCAGGAGCUGAUCCAAAUAAGCAAAGAGAAUAUCUUAAGAAAAAAAAACAAAGAAAGCUACAACGAUUCAAGGAACUUGAAGAAGAACGUGAAAUGGAAAAAAAUAAAUGGUUAGCUUUUACGAAUAAGUCGUCAAAGAAGGGUGUAAUAAAGAAAAGCAUAUUUGCAACACCAGAGAAUGUAAAUGGAAGAGUAGGUAUUGGUACAUGUGGCGUAAGUGGUCGAGAAAUGACUAAGUUUAGUAAUGGUGAAAAAUGGAGGAGAGGAGCGUGAAUAUUAAUGUAAAUAAAAAAUCACACAUUCUGUGAAAUAGAAUUUUGAAUUAUUGUUACAUUUGAUCAUUCAGUUCCUAUGAGAACUGAGAUUGUAUGUUUCGUUUGUGAGAAUGGUCAAUAGGCACGGAAAAAUGAAAUAAUCAAUAAUAAUAUCUGAGUGUGCACAGGUAUGUAUAAGUUUAUUGAACGAAAAAUUUCACUUUAAUAAAUUCUGACAUUAUUUUGCAUUUUUAAACCUACACUAUUGAAGGAUGAGUGUCAUGAAUGAGUGUUUCUAGAUUAAUGUCUUUUAAAUAUCGAUUUGUGAAGUUUAACGACCAUUUGGAGUGAUAAGAAGAAUAACAAACGACUGGAGAAUUCAGCCUAUUUUGAUAAGUGACAUUGUAACAUGAUAUUUUGAUAAAUCAGCAUCUUGGCUCUUUUAAAAAAUAA
Molecule: RNA transcript, 1288 nt
Organism: Vespa crabro (European hornet)
Lineage: Eukaryota; Metazoa; Arthropoda; Insecta; Hymenoptera; Vespidae
Gene: Spf30
Gene name: survival of motor neuron-related-splicing factor 30
Exons: 6
Source: RefSeq, a predicted model, not a curated record